Molecule: ribosomal RNA, 253 nt
Filed under: uncultured bacterium
Lineage: Bacteria
Description: partial 16S ribosomal RNA
Rfam family: Bacterial small subunit ribosomal RNA
Source: RNAcentral
UACGGAGGGUGCAAGCGUUAUCCGGAAUCACUGGGUUUAAAGGGUGCGUAGGCGGAGCGAUAAGUCAGAGGUGAAAUGUAAUCGCUUAACGAUUAAAUUGCCUUUGAUACUGUUGUUCUUGAAUUUGGUUGAGGUUGGCGGAAUGAGACAUGUAGCGGUGAAAUGCAUAGAUAUGUCUUAGAACACCGAUUGCGAAGGCAGCUGACUGGACCAUAAUUGACGCUGAGGCACGAAAGCGUGGGGAUCAAACAGG